This 60-nucleotide transfer RNA is filed under the name Ruditapes decussatus. RNAcentral's name for it is "tRNA-Tyr". The record is from RNAcentral. Lineage: Eukaryota; Metazoa; Mollusca; Bivalvia; Venerida; Veneridae.
AAAGAAGCGGCUGUUGAAGUGCUAAGUUGUAACCUUAGUUAUGGUGUGAUCCCUUCUUUA